AGCAGAUAUUAGUAGUAAGCACAAUGUAGUGAUUGUGGGAGAUUUCAACUUUCCACACAUAGACUGGGAAACACAUUCUGUAAAUGGGCUGGAUGGGUUGGAGUUUGUAAAAUGUGUGCAGGAUAGUUUUUUUGCAGCAAUACAUAGAGGUACCUACUAGAGGAGGAGCAGUGUUGGACCUCCUGUUAGGAAAUGAGAUGGGUCAGGUGGCGGAGGUAUGCGUUGGGGAACACUUCGGGUCCAGUGAUCACAAUACCAUUAGUUUCAAUAUAAUUAUGGAGAGGGUCAGAACUGGACCUAGGGUUGAGAUUUGUGAUUGGAGAAAGGCUAACUUUGAUGAGAUGAGAGAUGAUUUAAAAGGAGUGAACUGGGACAUUUUGUUUUAUGGGAAGGAUGUAGAAGAGAAAUGGAGGACAUUUAAAGGGGAAAUUUUAAGAGUAUAGAAUCUUUAUGUUCCUGUUCGGUUGAAAGGAAACAGUAAAAAUUGGAAAGAGCCCUGGUUUUCAAGGGAAAUUGGACAUCUUGUUCGGAAAAAGAGGGAGAUCUACAAUAAUUAUAGGCAGCAUGAAGUAAAUGAGGUGCUUGAGGAGUAUAAGGAGUGUAAAAAGAAUCUUAAGAAAGUAAUUAGAAAAGCUAAAAGAAGACAUGAGGUUGCUUUGGCAAGUAAAUCCAAAGAGUUUCUACAGCUAUAUUAAUAGCAAAAGGAUAACGAGGGGUAAAAUUGGUCCAUUGGAGAGACAGAGUGGACAGCUAUCUGCAGAGCCAAAAGAGAUGGGGGAGAUAUUGAACAAUUUCUUUUCUUCGGUAUUCACCAAGGAGAAGGAUAUUGAAUUAUGUGAGGUAAGGGAAACUAGUAGAGUAGCUAUGGAUGCUAUGAGAUUCAAAGUAAAAGAAGUACUGCCACUUUUGAAAAAUAUAAAAGUGGAUGAGUCUCCAGGUCCUGACAGGAUAUUCCCUAGGACAUUGAGGGAAGUUAGUGUAGAAAUAGCCGGGGCUAUGACAGAAAUAUUUCAAAUGUCAUUGAAACGGGAAUAGUCCCCGAGGAUUGGCGUACUGCGCAUGUUGUUCCAUUGUUUAAAAAGGGUUCUAAGAGUAAACCUAGCAAUUAUAGGCCUGUUAGUUUGACCAGCGGUGGGCAAAUUAAUGGAAAAGAUACUUAGGGAUAAUAUAUAUAAGCAUCUGGAUAAACAGGGACUGAUUAGGAACAGUCAGCAUGGAUUUGUGCCUGGAAGGUCAUGUUUGACUAAUCUUCUUGAAUUUUUUGAAGAGGUUACUAGGGAAAUUGACAAGGGUAAAGCAGUGGAUGUUGUCUAUAUGGACUUUAGUAAGGCCUUUGACAAGGUUCCUCAUGGAAGGUUGGUUAAGAAGGUUCAACUGUUGGGUAUAAAUGCAGGAGUAGCAAGAUGGAUUCAACAGUGGCUGAAUGGGAGAAGCCAGAGGGUAAUGGUGGAUGGUUGUUUGUCGGGUUGGAGGCAGGUGACUAGUGGUUGCCUCAGGGAUCUGUGUUGGGUCCUUUGUUGUUUGUCAUGUACAUCAAUGAUCUGGAUGAAUGUGUGGUAAAUUGGAUUAGUAAGUAUGCAGAUGAUACCAAGAUAGGGGGUGUUGUGGAUAAUGAAGAGGAUUUCCAAAGUCUACAGAGUGAUUUAGGCCAUUUGGAAGAAUGGGCUAAAAGAUGGCAGAUGGAGUUUAAUGCAGAUAAAUGUGAGGUGCUACACCUUGGCAGGCCAAAUCAAAAUAGGACGUACAUGGUAAAUGGUAGGGAAUUGAAGAAUACAGUUGAACAGAGGGAUCUGGGAAUAACUGUGCAUAGUUCCUUGAAGGUGGAAUCUCAUAUAGAAAGCUUUUGGUAUGCUAGCCUUUAUAAAUCAGAGCAUUGAGUAUAGAAGCUGGGAUGUAAUGUUAAAAUUGUACAAGGCAUUGGUGAGACCAAAUCUGGAGUAUGGUGUACAAUUUUGGUCGCCCAAUUAUAGGAAGGAUGUCAACAAAAUAGAGAGAGUACAGAGGAGAUUUACUAGAAUGUUGCCUGGGUUUCAACAACUAAUUUACAGAGAAAGGUUGAAUAAGUUAGGUCUUUAUACUCUGGUGCGCAGAAGUUUAAGGGGGGACUUGAUAGAGGUCUUUAAAAUGAUGAGAGGGAUAGACAGAGUUGAUGUAGAUCAGCUUUUCCCUUUGAGAAUAGGGAAGAUUCAAACAAGAGGACAUGACUUCAGAAUUAAGGGACAGAAGUUUAGGGGUAACAUGAGGGGGAACUUCUUUACUCAGAGAGUGGUAGCGGUGUGGAAUGAGCUUACAGUGGAAGUGGUGGAGGCAGGUUCGUUGGUAUCAUUUAUAAAUAAAUUGGAUAGGCAUAUGGAUGAGAAGGGAAUGGAGGGUUAUGGUAUGAGUGCAGGCAGGUGGGACUAAGGGAAAAAUUGUUCGGCACGGACUUGUAGGGCCGAGAUGGCCUGUUUCCGUGCUGUAAUUGUUAUAUGGUUGUUAUAUGGUUAUACGAUUUCUGUAGUAUUAGGUAUAGAUUUACAACCUCGUCCUAUUACUGCAAUUUUUGGGCUACCAAUGUUAGAUUCUAUUCUUUUGUCCCGCUCCACCCAUCGGUUAAUUGCUUUUACCACAUUAAUCGCCAGAAGAUCUAUUCUAUUUUAAUGGAAAGACUCCAACCCUCCGACUACACUCCAGUGGUAUUCGGAAACGAUAUAAUAUUUAAAUUUAGAAAAAAAAUCAGGAGUGACAUUGUUGAACCCUUGGUUAAAUUUGAUAAAACCUGGGGAAAAUUUAUUGAGCACUUUCAUACAACAUAAAUUGCUCCCUCUUUAACAGUUAUUAAAAUUAUUUUACCUCUAUAGUGUGGAACGGACUUGACGACAAACAAACAUAAAUUGUUGAAAUUCUCAGUUCAGAUUCGGUUUUGCUUUGCUUUGUUUUUUUAUUUAUUUUAUUUUUAUUCUUAUUUUAUUGUUAUAAUUUAUUUUUCUUUAGUUUAGGAGGGUUUUGUUUUUUCCUUUUUUCUUUUUCUUUUUGUCUUUUUAUCUUUGUGUUUUUUUUAAUAUUUAUAUGUUUCCUUUUAAUGAUUGAACUAUAUUUACAUAGAGACCGGGAGUCUAUAUUCAUUGUGUAUUUUGACACUGGUCUCAUAUUAGGUUAUACCUGUUAUUAAUGUAAUCCUGAUCCCUAAGUAUCAAUAUCAUUGUUAUGUUUAUCAUUAUUCUUUUUGCUGUUUUUUCAUGUUUUAUUUUGUGGGUUUUUGGGGGGAAAAAACUAUCAAAA
This is a long non-coding RNA of Leucoraja erinaceus (little skate), 3261 nucleotides long. RefSeq lists it as uncharacterized. The transcript is spliced from 2 exons. The record is from RefSeq and is a predicted model, not a curated record. NCBI's taxonomy places the organism in Eukaryota, Metazoa, Chordata, Chondrichthyes, Rajiformes, Rajidae.